This 1249-nucleotide long non-coding RNA is filed under the name Vulpes vulpes (red fox). RNAcentral describes it as "lncRNA (ENSVVUG00000009722.1)". Lineage: Eukaryota; Metazoa; Chordata; Mammalia; Carnivora; Canidae. The record is from RNAcentral.
CUUUAUUUCUUAUUUGUUUGCCUGCUUAAGCAGGUCUGCAGUCACCAGCAUGUAGAUUUAGGGGCGAGGAGGAAAGAGCACACGUCUUCCCCCUUGGUUCUCCCCUUCGAGGGAAGAAAGGGGGCAGUUUCCCUGCCUCUUGGACUCGAAUUCUGGUGAGCUUCUGUCUUGGAAAAGUGUGGUGGAGGCAAACCUGGUGUGUUCGCUCGGGGUCUCAGACUAGUGCUUUUGUUCAGUCUGAGACACGGCCAGAAAUUUCUCCGUGUCCUUAGGUUUUCCCCUGUGGCUGGCAGGCGUUGGAGCCGUUAGCCGGGGACAGCCCAGCUGGUCAUGACAGCUGCCCAAGGGAGCCCCAACGCCUCAGACAAGUCCCCUGGCAGGGAGCGCCCCGGGGCACCUAGGGCACAGGCAGCAGCCAGUGGCACCCAGGGUCACCCCUGAGGUGGGGCGCUGACAUGGUGCCCUGGGGAAAGAGGCCCUGCUGUGUCAGUGAGGUCCUGAAGAAAGAAGCCCCCCCGGGUACGUGGCAGGGGAGUCUCCUCGGGAAGAUGCUGAUCACCCCAUUCUCCUGUGUGGACUCCCAGCCCUGUGCUUCUGGAACCGGCCUUCCCUAGGCUCUGAGCCAGGCCUCCCACCCCACUCCCACCCCAGCCUCCAGGCCACCUCCCCUUUCAAGCCUUUGCCCUCCCAGGUGGGGCUAACACCCCUGUUUCUCCCACAGUGGGGACAGCCUCAUCCGAGGCUAAAGUGUUUUGUGAUCUUUGCUCUGGUGAGCAAGUGCCCUGGUAACGAGGCCGGGGCCGAGGGAAGGCCGAGCUGUCUGCAGCGCCGCAGCGCUGAGGCCACAUCCCGGGCGUCAGUCAGUCAGAAGUCAAAGGCUCAUUCUUCAAGGGCUGCAUCUAACUUCGUCUUUGUGCCGCGGUGCUGCUUCCAUUUCAAAGGCUUCGCCAGCGAAUCAGGCUGUAUACCAAUAAGCACGUGCAAGAAAGUAUUUCCUCCUCAAGCCUGUUCCUCGGGGCCCCUUGCAAAGACCACUCCAGCUUUGCUGGGAAAGACACCCAGUGCCGUGAUCUCGGACCCAACUCCAGGCAGCCCAGGACUCCAGCGCUCAAGGUUGGAUGUGGGAGCCCCAUCUAGCUUGAAUUUUCAAAAAAAUCACACAUACCAUUAAUCAAAAAAAAAAUUUUUUUUUCUGCCUAUUGUUUUCUUUGUUCUGAAGAAGCUACUUAUAAAGUAAAUUUUAUCGGAC